GAUGAACGCUGGCGGCGUGCCUAAUACAUGCAAGUCGAGCGAACAGACGAGGAGCUUGCUCCUCUGACGUUAGCGGCGGACGGGUGAGUAACACGUGGAUAACCUACCUAUAAGACGGGGAUAACUUCGGGAAACCGGAGCUAAUACCGGAGAAUAUAUUGAACCGCAUGGUUCAAUAGUGAAAGACGGUGUUGCGGUCACUUAUAGAUGGAUCCGCGCCGCAUUAGCUAGUUGGUAAGGUAACGGCUUACCAAGGCAACGAUGCGUAGCCGACCUGAGAGGGUGAUCGGCCACACUGGAACUGAGCCACGGUCCAGACUCCUACGAGAGGCAGCAGUCUGGAAUCUUCCGCAAUGGGCGAAAGCCUGACGGAGCAACGCCGCGUGAGUGAUGAAGGUCUUCCGAUCGUAAAACUCUGUUAUUAGGUAAGAACAACUGUGUAAGUAACUAUGCACGUCUUGACGGUACCUAAUCAGAAAGCCACGGCUAACUACGUG
RNAcentral lists this ribosomal RNA (497 nucleotides) under uncultured bacterium. RNAcentral describes it as "partial 16S ribosomal RNA". It matches the Rfam family "Bacterial small subunit ribosomal RNA", at positions 28 to 507 of the family's 1533-position model. The record is from RNAcentral.